Molecule: long non-coding RNA, 2341 nt
Organism: Felis catus (domestic cat)
Lineage: Eukaryota; Metazoa; Chordata; Mammalia; Carnivora; Felidae
Exons: 2
Source: RefSeq, a predicted model, not a curated record
UUUUAAGUAACAUUUUAGGGUUCAGUUUCUUUCAUGGGGGAUAGAGAAAAUCCAAGAAAGAGGUCUUCUAGAACUCCAUGUAUUAUGACAGAUGCCAGGCACACAUUCCAUAUCUACAAAGCCCAAGUCAAAGCUAAUGUUCAUUCUGACAUUUCAUGACCAGCAUUAUAAUUCUCAAGCUAUUUUCUCAACUAAAUGGAUGGAUAUUGGCCUUAUUUUCCUCAGGUCAACUGUAGAAUCAGUGAAGCAUUCUUAGCUCUAGAAUGUACUUCCCCUAAGUGGUCCAACAAAUGUAAACUUACUACCUUUUCAGAGAUGGCACUAGUUUUCUCUUGGCAAAGCUGAACACAAAAGGAAUAAUGUUCCACGUCAAAUGACCAACUCAAGGGUUCUAUAAAUGCAUUUUCAUAAUCAAGAUACAGGAUAUAUUUUUAGAAAUUAGUAAACAAUUCUAUUAAUAUAUUUAUAACAAUUGUUUAAUAUUAUAAUAAAUAAAACAUUUAUUGACCAAUAAAAUAGCAAUGGCCAAUUUAAAGUAGUGAAUUAUUAUGAAGUAAUGAAGUAGUGAAUUAUUAUUAUGCAUGUUUAUACUCCAUUGCAUUUGUGUAUAGAACAACUAAGAUAUUUUUAUUAUGAGUAAUGCUUUCCCAAGCAAAGUAAACCAAAUAUUUAUCUGGGAAAUUUAGACAACAGAAGAUAACUUUGGCAAAUUAUAUGUUUUAAGCCAAUUUGAAGAGAAGUUACUUAUCUCCUGCAAGCAAUAUUGCUCAUAUGCAAAUCUUCUGACCUAUCUUAAAUGCAUUAGGAUUUUGUUCACUCCAGCUUCAGUGAACUUGUGUAAAAGUCCAUGACAUUAUCAAAUGGCAAAAGAGAUGAUAUCUAUUGCUAAGAUGUAUUUUUCCCACUAACCCAUAGUGGCCCUAUAAAUGCUUAGCAUUUAUAAACAACUGAUGACAUGAGCGGAUUACAAAAGCAAAGAUAUCACUUUUCUGUUUCUCUUCUGAGGAGCAAGAAGUCAAAUGAGAUGAAGAGGAUAUAAAUAAAAAAACAGCAACAACAACAACAACAACAACAACAACAACAACAAAAGAAACUGAACCCAAACAAAACCACCAUGAGUGACAUCCCAGAAUAUCCAUGGGAUGUCAGGAAGAAAUUAGGAAAAAUAGAAUCAUGAAAGAUGUUUGUUUUCUUGAGCCAUCCAAAUUAUUUAGGACAAUUGCAAUGAAUUCUAAGGCAAGCUUAAUGCUCAGUAAGAAAUUGAUUCAGAAGAGUUAGGUCGAAUAUGAGCAAAAAGUGACGAAUCAGCAACUGAAUACAAGAAAUGCUGAUGCAGAAAUUAAGCAAACUUGCUGAGAUCUAUGAAAAGGGUUUACAUUUGUACUAAAAAUCACCAUAAUUUCCCAUGUGCUACUGGUGGCAAGGCAGAAAAACUAGUUUUCAAAUAUCAAUAAUAAUCACAAGGUUUUUUUUGGAAUGCUGUGCUAAGAGCUUCACCGAAAUUACCCUGAUUAUUCUCACAGCAACCUGUGGGGAUCUACUCAGACUCACAGAGCUGGUAUGAAGAUGAUUUUAAACCAAAGACAUUUGAGAUUUAACAGAUACAGGAAGAAGGCUUUUUGGAGCUUAUCUAACUAAAGGCAGAAACUUCUGGGAGCGAGGAUGCCAUAAAUCCCUUCUCAGAGGAGUUUUACUGGCCAGAAAAACGACAGAGAAGAGAACGUGCAUCUGCACCAACAAACAUUAGCACAGACUUUCUUAUCUCCCAUUUGUCCCUCUAGAAACCCAUCUGUUCUUUCCAUAGAAGCCUUUUGUCCCUCCUCCUUUCCCCUUCUUAAGUUAGGCAUAUAAACCCCUGUCUUUAGCUGUUUGGAGAGUAACCUUUUUCUCUUUGCUCCUACGACAAAGGUGAGUAAGAGAGGACUUUUCUCUAAUCUGACUUUUUUCAGUUUAAUUCACAUGUCCCCAGCUAAUGAACACAAGACUGUACGUAGAGGAAAAUUUUUCCUCUGAUGAACUAAAGGAUGCAAGUAAAUCUCAACUUCAUUGUAGAUGUGAGAAAACAGAGAAAAUAGGAAACUUGCCCAAAUUCACUGAACCUGAAGAGCCAAGAUUCAAAUACAAGGCUAUUAAUUUUACACUAGUAAAAUUCAUUAAGUUGUUUAUAGUGGAUCUAAAGGCCCUCCCAGCCCAUGUGAACUGUCAUCUCUUUCAAGCAAUUCUUCCAAGACCCCACCAUUACUGUCUUAAUUCUGAAUGCUUUGGCAUUCACUGGGAAGGAUGUUAUUUGGAUGACUGCAAGGUUUACCCAAAUUAUUCAGUAAAAGCAAAGAUAAAUGAA